UGGCCCUCCAGAUGUUUUUGAGACUACAAUUCCCAUCAUCCCUGACCACUGGUCUUGCUAGCUAGGGAUCAUGGGAGUUGUAGGCCAAAAACGUCUGGAGGGCUG
Podarcis lilfordi (Lilford's wall lizard) is the source of this 105-nucleotide non-coding RNA. The record is from the annotation of a GenBank genome assembly. Lineage: Eukaryota; Metazoa; Chordata; Lepidosauria; Squamata; Lacertidae.